UACGUAGGCAGCGAGCGUUGUCCGGAAUUAUUGGGCGUAAAGAGCUCGUAGGCGGUUCGUCACGUCGGCUGUGUAAACCUGAGGCUCAACCUCAGGCCUGCAGUCGAUACGGGCGGACUUGAGUACUGCAGGGGAGACUGGAAUUCCUGGUGUAGCGGUGAAAUGCGCAGAUAUCAGGAGGAACACCGGUGGCGAAGGCGGGUCUCUGGGCAGUAACUGACGCUGAGGAGCGAAAGCGUGGGGAGCGAACAGG
This 253-nucleotide ribosomal RNA is filed under the name uncultured bacterium. RNAcentral describes it as "partial 16S ribosomal RNA". It matches the Rfam family "Bacterial small subunit ribosomal RNA", at positions 524 to 776 of the family's 1533-position model. The record is from RNAcentral.